AUGAACGCUGGCGGCGUGCCUAAUACAUGCAAGUCGCGCGAACAGACGAGGAGCUUGCUCCUCUGACGUUAGCGGCGGACGGGUGAGUAACACGUGGAUAACCUACCUAUAAGACUGGGAUAACUUCGGGAAACCGGAGCUAAUACCGGAUAAUAUAUUGAACCGCAUGGUUCAAUAGUGAAAGACGGUUUUGCUGUCACUUAUAGAUGGAUCCGCGCCGCAUUAGCUAGUUGGUAAGGUAACGGCUUACCAAGGCGACGAUGCGUAGCCGACCUGAGAGGGUGAUCGGCCACACUGGAACUGAGACACGGUCCAGACUCCUACGGGAGGCAGCAGUAGGGAAUCUUCCGCAAUGGGCGAAAGCCUGACGGAGCAACGCCGCGUGAGUGAUGAAGGUCUUCGGAUCGUAAAACUCUGUUAUUAGGGAAGAACAAAUGUGUAAGUAACUAUGCACGUCUUGACGGUACCUAAUCAGAAAGCCACGGCUAACUACGU
RNAcentral lists this ribosomal RNA (495 nucleotides) under uncultured bacterium. Its description in RNAcentral is "partial 16S ribosomal RNA". It matches the Rfam family "Bacterial small subunit ribosomal RNA", at positions 29 to 506 of the family's 1533-position model. The record is from RNAcentral.